CCUACGGGCGGCAGCAGUGGGGAAUAUUGCACAAUGGGGGGAACCCUGAUGCAGCGACGCCGCGUGAGCGAGGAAGUAUUUCGGUAUGUAAAGCUCUAUCAGCAGGGACGAAAAAAGACGGUACCUGACUAAGAAGCCCCGGCUAACUACGUGCCAGCAGCCGCGGUAAUACGUAGGGGGCAAGCGUUAUCCGGAUUUACUGGGUGGAAAGGGAGCGUAGACGGCAAGGCAAGCCAGAAGUGAAAGGGCCGGGCUCAACCCUGUACAUGCGUGUGGAACUGUGGGGCUAGAGUGCAGGAGAGGUAAGUGGAAUUCCGAGUGUAGCGGUGAAAUGCGUAGAUAUUAGGAGGAACACCAGUGGCGAAGGCGGCUUACUGGACUGUAACUGACGUUGAGGCUCGAAAGCGUGGGGAGCAAACAGGAUUAGAUACCCGUGUAGUC
This 441-nucleotide ribosomal RNA is filed under the name uncultured bacterium. RNAcentral's name for it is "partial 16S ribosomal RNA". It matches the Rfam family "Bacterial small subunit ribosomal RNA", at positions 338 to 795 of the family's 1533-position model. The record is from RNAcentral.